This 253-nucleotide ribosomal RNA is filed under the name uncultured bacterium. RNAcentral's name for it is "partial 16S ribosomal RNA". It matches the Rfam family "Bacterial small subunit ribosomal RNA", at positions 524 to 776 of the family's 1533-position model. The record is from RNAcentral.
UACGGAGGGUGCAAGCAUUAAUCGGAAUUAUUGGGCGUAAAGGGCGCGUAGGCGGGUCAGUAAGUCAGAUGUGAAAUCCCGGAGCUUAACUCCGGAACAGCAUUUGAAACUGCUAGCCUAGAGGGUAGGCGGAGAAAACGGAAUUCCACAAGUAGCGGUGAAAUGCGUAGAUAUGUGGAAGAACACCUGUGGCGAAAGCGGUUUUCUAGCUUAUUCCUGACGCUGAGGCGCGAAAGCAAGGGGAGCAAACAGG